GACAGAGGUCUCAAGCGUUGUUCGGAUUCAUUGGGCGUAAAGGGUGUGUAGGUGGCGCCGUAAGUCGGGUGUGAAAUUUCGGAGCUUAACUCCGAAACUGCAUUCGAUACUGCGGUGCUUGAGGACUGGAGAGGAGACUGGAAUUCAUGGUGUAGCAGUGAAAUGCGUAGAGAUCAUGAGGAAGACCAGUGGCGAAGGCGGGUCUCUGGACAGUUCCUGACACUGAGACACGAAGGCCAGGGGAGCAAACGGG
This 253-nucleotide ribosomal RNA is filed under the name uncultured bacterium. RNAcentral describes it as "partial 16S ribosomal RNA". It matches the Rfam family "Bacterial small subunit ribosomal RNA", at positions 524 to 776 of the family's 1533-position model. The record is from RNAcentral.